GAGUUUGAUCGUGGCUCAGAACGAACGCUGGCGGCAUGCCUAACACAUGCAAGUCGAACGAGAUCUUCGGAUCUAGUGGCGCACGGGUGCGUAACGCGUGAGAAUCUGCCCUUGGGUGCGGAAUAACUUCUCGAAAGGGAUGCUAAUACCGCAUAAUGUCGUAAGACCAAAGAUUUAUCGCCCAAGGAUGAGCCCGCGUAAGAUUAGCUAGUUGGUGGGUAAAGACUACCAAGGCGACGAUCUUUAGUCUGGUCUGAGAGGAUGAUCAGCCACACUGGGACUGAGACACGGCCCAGACUCCUACGGGAGGCAGCAGUGGGGAAUAUUGGACAAUGGGCGGAAAGACCUGAUCCAGCAAUGCCGCGUGAGUGAUGAAGGCCCGUACGGGUUGGU
RNAcentral lists this ribosomal RNA (393 nucleotides) under uncultured microorganism. RNAcentral's name for it is "bacterial SSU rRNA". It matches the Rfam family "Bacterial small subunit ribosomal RNA", at positions 9 to 427 of the family's 1533-position model. The record is from RNAcentral.